AUGCCCAUGGGGCCGCGCCUCCUGCAGCACUACCGCUCCCGCUCCGCCUCCUACGCGCGCUCGCCCGACGCCGACGCCCUCCACGGCAGCCCCGGCCCCGGCACCGCGGCCGCCGCCGACGCCCUCGACUGCCCCUUCGGCCGCCUCGAUGGCCUCUCCCGCGCCGACGUCCGCGAGGCCGCCUACGAGGUCUUCUUCAUGUCCUGCCGCGCCGGCGGCGGCGGCAACGCCAAGGGCGCGGCAUGUGACGGCGCCGAAGGCGGGGACGCCUCGCCCAGGAUCGGCGCCGGGCCCAGGGGCGGCACCGGGAUGAACGUCGUCAACAGCCGGGUCAAGCGCGCGCUCGGGCUCAAGGCGCGCAGGGCCACGCAGCCGUCCACCGCCCUGCGCAGCGGCAGCAUGAACGCCUCGUCCGCGCCGGGUUCCCCCGGCCGCGCCGUGCGGGCGCCGGCCGGGUCGCCCAGGGCCAGGCGGCCCAUGACCUCCGCCGAGAUCAUGCGGCAGCAGAUGCGCGUCACGGAGCACGGCGACGCGCGCCUCCGCAAGACGCUCAUGCGCACCCUCGUCGGACAGGUGGGCAGAAGAGCGGAGACGAUCAUCCUGCCGCUGGAGCUGCUGCGGCAGCUCAAGCUGCCCGACUUUGCCGACGGCGCCGAGCACCACCAGUGGCAGCGCCGCCAGCUCAAGCUCCUCGAGGCGGGCCUCAUCACGCACAGCUCUGUCCCGCUCGACCACCGCCACAGCGCCUCCGUGCUCCGGUUCCGCGAGGUCGUGGAGGCAGCCGAGGCCCGCGCCAUCGACACCGGCAAGGCCUCCGACGCCAUGCGCGCCCUCUGCGACGCCGUGCUCGCGCUCGCCUGGCGCUCCGCCCCCGCCGGCGAGGCCUGCCACUGGGCCGACGGGUACCCUCUCAACGUGCUCCUUUACGUCUCCCUCCUCCAGGGCAUCUUCGACCUCAGGGACGAGACCGUCGUGCUCGACGAGGUGGACGAGCUCCUGGAGCUCAUGAGGAGGACGUGGGCGACGCUCGGCAUCAACCGGAUGCUGCACAACGUGUGCUUCGCCUGGGUCCUCUUCCAGCAGUACGUGGCCACCGGGCAGGUCGAGCCGGACCUCGCCGGCGCGGCGCUCGCGGUGCUCGCGGAGGUGGCCGCUGACGCCGGCGCCAGGCAGGACAACCCCCGUGACCCCGUGUACGCGCGGGUCUUCUCCACCGCUCUUGGCGCGAUACGUGACUGGUCCGAGAAGCGCCUGCUUGACUACCACGAGUGGUACGGGAAUGGCGGCACCGGCACCGGCACCGCGGCGUUGGAGUGCGCUCUGUCUUUGGCGCUCGGCGCGGGCAAGAUCAUCGCCGAAAGUGUGCACACGGAUCACGAAUGCGGCGGCGAUCGCGUCGAUUACUACAUCCGUUGCUCGAUGAGAAGCGCCUUCACCAAGGUCCUGGAGAGCGGGCUCGGGCAGGAGCACGGCAUGGUCUCCGGCCACCAGCGCGACGUGGACGACACCAGCGGGAUCCUGACGCAGCUCGCCAAGGACACGGAGGAGCUGGCCCAGUGGGAGCGCGAGUGCUUCAGCCGGGAGCUGAGGCGGUGGCACCCGUUCCCGGCGGCGGUGGCCGCGGUGACCCUGCACGGCUGCUACGGCGUGGUGCUGAAGCAGUACCUGGGCAAGGCCGUCUGCCUGACCGACGAGCUGGUGCGCGUGCUGCACGCGGCGGGCAGGCUCGAGAAGGCCCUGGUGCAGAUGGUGGCGGACGACGACGGCGAGCCGGUGGUGCGGGAGGUGGUGCCCUACGAUGUCGAGUCCGUCGUGGUCGGCUUCCUCCGGACGUGGGUCGAGGAGCGGCUCAGGGUCGCCAGGGAGUGCCUCCUCAGAGCCAAAGACACCGAGAGCUGGACCGCGAGGUCCAAGAAUGAGCCGUACGCGCAGUCGGCGGUGGACCUGAUGAAGCUGGCCAAGGCCACCCUUGACGAGUUCUUCGCGAUCCCGGUGAGCGCGAGGGACGGCAUGCUGCAGGACCUCGCCGACGGCCUCGGCGCCGUCUUCCAGGACUACGUCUCCUUCCUCGCCUCCUGCGGCAACAAGCAGAGCUACCUCCCGCCGCUGCCGGCGCUGACGAGGUGCAACCAGGACUCGACGAUCAAGCGGCUGUGGAAGAGGGCGGCGGUGGCGCCGUGCCGGGUGCCCCUGACGAGCGGCGGGCGCGGCAACGCGUCGUACCACGGCGGAGGCCAGAGCGUGAGCGCGGCCGGCGGGCACAACCCGCGGCCGUCCACCAGCCGCGGCACGCAGCGCCUCUACGUCCGGCUCAACACGAUCCACUACAUCCUCAGCCACAUCCAGGCGCUGGACAAGUCGCUCUCCUUCUUCUCCGCGGGCGGCGGAGCAUGCACCUCGCCGUCCACCACGAGCCGGCUCCUCGCCGCACCGUGCUGCCACUUCGACCACGCGCGUACCGCGGCCCAGACGGCGAUCGCCCACGUCGCCGAGGUGGCCGCGUACCGGCUCAUCUUCUUCGACUCGCACCACUCGUUCUACGACGGGCUGUACGCCGGCGGCGUGGCCGACGCGCGCAUCCGGCCGGCGCUCCGCACGCUGAAGCAGAACCUGUCGCUCCUCGUCUCCAUCCUGGUGGACCGCGCGCAGCCGGUGGCGGUGCGGGAGGUGAUGAAGGCCUCGUUCCAGGCGUUCCUGAUGGUGCUGCUGGCCGGCGGCAACCACCGGAGCUUCACGAGGGAGGACCACGGCAUGGUGGAGGAGGACCUGCGGAGCCUGAAGCGGGCCUUCUGCACGCGCGGGGAGGGCCUGGUGGCGGAGGACGUGGUGGAGAGCGAGGCCGAGGCCGCCGAGGGCGUGGUCGCGCUCAUGGGGCAGACGGCGGAGCGGGUCGUGGAGGAGCUAAGCAUCGCGACGACGACGGCGGCGGCCUGCGGCGGGUCGCCCCGGGCCGCUCUGCCGAUGCCGCUGACGACGAGGCGGUGGUGCCGGACGGACCCGGACACGAUCCUCCGCGUGCUCUGCCACCGCGACGACGAGGCCGCGAGCCAGUUCCUGAAGCGCGCGUUCCAGCUCCCCAAGAGGCGGUGA
This 3090-nucleotide ribosomal RNA is filed under the name Triticum aestivum (bread wheat). Its description in RNAcentral is "partial small subunit ribosomal RNA". Lineage: Eukaryota; Viridiplantae; Streptophyta; Magnoliopsida; Poales; Poaceae. The record is from RNAcentral.